GGGAGGUCACAUACCGAAAGGGGCAGGUCCUUGGUGAGCCUGAUGAUUUGCUGUACCAUGAAAGUGUUGAUGUCUGCGAAAUGUGUGAGCAGAGGCAGUGCAGGGAACUGGGUGGACAGUGCUGGUGAUGGAGGAACAGAUGAGCUGGAGGCUGCAGAGGUCAGAGCCUGGUUUCCUUUCCACUGCUCCAUAUUGAGAAGCAGUGUGACGUCAUGGAGAAAGCAAGGGUCUGGUGAAUACUGACUCUACAACUUUUCAGCCGAGUGGACUUGGACAAGUUGAUUUCUGUUACUUUAAGUUGAAUAUGAGUUACAUUAUCUUUUGGGGGCAGAGCCUUAUUACCUGGCACAGAGAAAAAAACGUUAAAUAAUUCAACAAUUAUCAAGUACCUACUAAGUGACAGGCACUAUAUUUGAGAGAUGGAAGAGUAAAAUCAAGCCAUAUAAAUAUCUAAGGGAAGAGCAUUCCAGGUAGAGGCAAUGGCGAGUGCAAGUAUAAGUUACAACAGUCUUGAGAAGAGUGUGCUUGGUGUGUUUGAGAAUGGCAUUGACGUCAGUGUGGCUGGGAUGGGUUGAGCAAGGGGAAGAGUCGGAAGUGAAAUCUGAGAGGUGGUAUGGAGGAGCUGGCCCAUGAGAUCAUGGACCAUAAGAGGGAGGAGGAGCCCUUGGAGGUUUUGAGCAGAAUAGUGACAUUGUCUGACUUGUUUCACAAAGCUUACUCUGCCUGCCCUGUGGAGAAUACGCUGUGGGAACAAGGGCAAAGCAUAGUCAGUGGAGGAACAUAGUGGAUUCUCGGGAUGGAAAAGGGCCAACUCACUGUCCUUCUUCAUGCCAGCAUCUAGGCACUUCUGCAACCUGCAGGCUGGGCCUUGUUGACCUUCCAGCUUCCAGCAAAGGGGCACGUGAGACCUGUGCUUUUGCAGACUGUUUGCCUGAGAAGACAGAGACAUUGUGAGGGUUGGGGAUGGCAGCGAGCAGCGCUGUUUACAAUAGCCAAGGCAUGGAAGCAACCUAAAUGUCCAUCGACAGACGAAUGGAUAAAGAUGUGGUACAUAUAUACAAUGGAAUAUUACUCAGCCAUUAAAAAGAAUGAAAUAAUGCCAUUUGCAGCAACACGGAUGGACCUGGAGAUUAUCAUACUGAGUGAAGUAAGUCAGACAGAGAAAGACAAAUAUGAUAUCGCUUCCAUAUGGAAUCCAAAAAAUGAUGCAAAUGAACUUAUUUACAAAACAGAAACAGACUCACAGACAGAAAACAAACUUACGGUUACCAAAGGGGAAAGAUGGGAGGGAAGGAUAAAUUGGGAGUUUGGGAUUGACAGGUACACUCUACUAUAUUUAAAAUAAAUAACCAACAAGGACCUACUAUAUAGCACAGGGAACUCUGCUCAGUAUUCUGUAAUCAGCUAAAUGGGAAAAGAAUUUGAAAAAGAAUUGAUAUAUGUAUAUGUAUAACUGAAUCACUUUGCUGUACACCUGAAACCAACACAACAUUGUAAAUCAACUAUAG
Lagenorhynchus albirostris (white-beaked dolphin) is the source of this 1508-nucleotide long non-coding RNA. RefSeq lists it as uncharacterized. The record is from RefSeq and is a predicted model, not a curated record. Lineage: Eukaryota; Metazoa; Chordata; Mammalia; Artiodactyla; Delphinidae. The transcript has 3 exons.